Pelobates cultripes (western spadefoot toad) is the source of this 671-nucleotide non-coding RNA. NCBI's taxonomy places the organism in Eukaryota, Metazoa, Chordata, Amphibia, Anura, Pelobatidae. The record is from the annotation of a GenBank genome assembly.
AAUAAAUGAAUUAAAUUGGAAAAGAGUAAUUAGCUGAAUGGUUACUUCCAAUAGUGCAAUUUAGGAGUAACUGAAACCCAGAAGGCAGACAAGUGUAUUCCCUUUUUAUCCUUCCAAAUAAACAUAAGGCUUGAAUCAAUUAUUAUUCCAGUAACUGGAGAACUUAUCUUGCUUUCUUUGGAUAAUGAGCAUGGAAGUCCUUUCCAGAAUAGUGUGGAUUAUGGUUUCCUGUGGAAUAUGGAGGAAUUUGUGGUGAUGUCUGUUCCUAGUCUGGGAGUGGAGAAGUCAGCACAGACAGGAUCAAGCAGGAGAGGUUCGGUACACAGGUAAUCAAAUAGAAGAGCUCCUUCGGCAAUCAGCAACAAAGUAACAAGGUAUGCGAGAGGCACAAAUUGAUUGAGCAAUUUGGAUGCGGCUCGGCUUCCUUUUGAAAGGGAAGUGCGUGACAUCAGAUGCAUGGGCGGAGUUGGAUCGGUGAAACCCGGAAGUCAUACGGGUAAUGCCGAUCGGAAGGAAGAUAUGGGUGAAUCCUAAAAGUGUUGUGGCGGAUGUGUACUGUAGUCAUUGCUGCCGCCCAACAGUGGGUGAUUGAACUCAGGACUUAAUUUUGUGUAUUUAUAUCAAGAUGGCGCCAGGUCCCGGGUCAUCCUUACAGCUACUGGGGACUCCGC